Molecule: long non-coding RNA, 71 nt
Organism: Octopus sinensis (East Asian common octopus)
Lineage: Eukaryota; Metazoa; Mollusca; Cephalopoda; Octopoda; Octopodidae
Exons: 3
Source: RefSeq, a predicted model, not a curated record
UUUCUUCUCUAGGCAGCAGGCCCGAAAAUUGGGGGAGGGGACAGUCAAUUAGAUCGAUCCUAGUACUUAUU